Caenorhabditis elegans is the source of this 142-nucleotide non-coding RNA. Lineage: Eukaryota; Metazoa; Nematoda; Chromadorea; Rhabditida; Rhabditidae. The record is from Ensembl.
GUUUUUUUUCUAAAAAGGAGUGGUAGAAGAAAAGGGGAAAAAUGAAAAAGAAGAAAAAGACGAUGACAUGAAUUUUCAAUAAACAAUUUGUUUGUCCUCUCACCAUAUUCUUGGAUCUCAGAGUUGUUCUUUUCCGUCGGAG